GAUGAACGCUGGCGGCGUGCCUAACACAUGCAAGUCGAGCGAACGGACGAUAAGCUUGUUUUUUUGAUGUUAGCGGCGGACGGGCGUGUAACACGUGGAUAACCUACUUAUAUUUCGGGGAUAAUUUCGGAAAACCGGCUCUAAUACCAUAGAAUAUUUUGAACCGCAUGGUGCAAAGGUGAAUGACGGCCUUGCUGUCAGUAAUAGAUGCUUCCGCGCUGGAUUAGCUAGUUGGUAAGGUAACGGCUUACCAAGGCGACGAUGGGUAGCCGAGCUGAGAGGGUGAUCGGCCACACUGGAACUGAGACACGGUCCAGACUCCUACGGGAGGCAGCAGUAGGGAAUCUUGGGCAAUGGGCGAAAGCCUGACGCAGCAACGCCGCGUGAGUGAUGAAGGUCUUCGGAUCGUAAAGCUCUGUUAUUGGGGAAGAACAGCUGUGUAAGUAGAUGUGGACGUCGUGACGGUACCUAAUCAAGAAGCAACGGCUAACUACGUG
Molecule: ribosomal RNA, 497 nt
Filed under: uncultured bacterium
Lineage: Bacteria
Description: partial 16S ribosomal RNA
Rfam family: Bacterial small subunit ribosomal RNA
Source: RNAcentral